GACGUAGGGUCCAAGCGUUGUCCGGAUUUACUGGGCGUAAAGAGCGCGUAGGCGGUCUGUUAAGUGAGAAGUGAAAUCUCCAGGGCUCAACCCGGAAACGGCUUUUCAUACUGGAAGACUAGAGGGAUGCAGAGGUUUGUGGAAUUCCUGGUGUAGCGGUGAAAUGCGUUGAUAUCAGGAGGAACACCCAUGGCGAAGGCAGCAAACUGGGCAUCAUCUGACGCUGAGGCGCGAAAGCGUGGGUAGCAAACAGG
RNAcentral lists this ribosomal RNA (254 nucleotides) under uncultured bacterium. RNAcentral describes it as "partial 16S ribosomal RNA". It matches the Rfam family "Bacterial small subunit ribosomal RNA", at positions 524 to 776 of the family's 1533-position model. The record is from RNAcentral.